UAGGGAAUCUUCGGCAAUGGGGGGAACCCUGACCGAGCAACGCCGCGUGAGUGAAGAAGGUUUUCGGAUCGUAAAGCUCUGUUGUUAAGGAAGAACGAGUGUGAGAAUGGAAAGUUCAUGCUGUGACGGUACUUAACCAGAAAGGGACGGCUAACUACGUGCCAGCAGCCGCGGUAAUACGUAGGUCCCGAGCGUUGUCCGGAUUUCUUGGGCGUAAAGCGAGCGCAGGCGGUUAGAAAAGUCUGAAGUGAAAGGCAGUGGCUCAACCAUUGUAGGCUUUGGAAACUGUUUAACUUGAGUGCAGAAGGGGAGAGUGGAAUUCCAUGUGUAGCGGUGAAAUGCGUAGAUAUAUGGAGGAACACCGGUGGCGAAAGCGGCUCUCUGGUCUGUAACUGACGCUGAGGCUCGAAAGCGUGGGGAGCGAACAGG
Molecule: ribosomal RNA, 429 nt
Filed under: Bacteroidota bacterium
Lineage: Bacteria; Pseudomonadati; Bacteroidota
Description: Bacteroidetes bacterium partial 16S ribosomal RNA
Rfam family: Bacterial small subunit ribosomal RNA
Source: RNAcentral